UGGAAAGUAACUGACUGUCUGUAGACCCA
RNAcentral lists this non-coding RNA (29 nucleotides) under Mus musculus (house mouse). Lineage: Eukaryota; Metazoa; Chordata; Mammalia; Rodentia; Muridae. The record is from RNAcentral.